AGUAUCAUGGGAUGAAACCUUGAAACAAUGUGAGGAUUACACCUUUUCACAGACUGAUUGUUUUCAUAUGAAUGAGAAGGCAUUUAUAUUCUGAUGCU
Molecule: small nucleolar RNA, 98 nt
Organism: Triticum dicoccoides
Lineage: Eukaryota; Viridiplantae; Streptophyta; Magnoliopsida; Poales; Poaceae
Product: small nucleolar RNA snoR31/Z110/Z27
Exons: 1
Source: RefSeq, a predicted model, not a curated record